Molecule: long non-coding RNA, 9103 nt
Organism: Acinonyx jubatus (cheetah)
Lineage: Eukaryota; Metazoa; Chordata; Mammalia; Carnivora; Felidae
Exons: 2
Source: RefSeq, a predicted model, not a curated record
CAGAUCAUGAGGGGUGGGGGGGGGGGGCGCACUGCAGGCAGAGGGAACAGCAAAUGUAUCUGAGGGACCUGAGGACAAGGCAGUUUGGGAGAAGAAUGAUCAGUACAAUGAGGUUGCAACACAGAUUGGAGACAUGUUAAAUUUGGACAGUACUUAAGCAAUGAUGCUGUGAAAAAUUCACACACAUUUUAAAAUAGCAUCUGGCUUAACUUCUUGUCUACCACCUAUUUUUAAAAUAAACAUGAUUUUGCAUAGUGUUAUAUCUAAAUGCAAUAAGCACCUUCCUUUUGCUUGUAUUUAAUUUCAAACUGUUUCUCAACUUUAAGUAGGCUUUUGGAAAUUUGUCACUAAAGUUGAGGUCCUCAGUAGAAGUCUUUCCCUUUAAUGUUUUCACGUAUCCUACUUGAAUCCUAGCCACUAAAUUUCUGACUACUUGCAUUUAUCAUUAAUUGCUAGUCAUUUUGGUUUUAGUCAAGGGGCGGGGGCAUUGUUUCCCUUUUGUGGUAGUGGUGGUGUUGCUGCUGUUGUUGUUUUGGCUGAAAUCCAGAAAUAUUUUUUUAAAUUAAUGAAAAAUUCUGAAGUUUUGGUUUAUAAUUAGAAUAUAAGAGUCUCUGUUAACAUCUUAUGUAAAUCUGUGUGGCAGUAAAGAAUCCCUAGCAUUUGAAGUGGAAACUCUUCCUUCCACCAGAUGGCAGAGUAGUAUUAAAAAGCAAGCAAAGAAUCAACUACUGUAGACAAACUGGUGGUGAAUUUGCAAGAAUUAUCAAACACAUCAAACAGAUUCCUUUUGGCUUUAGAUUUGACUAAUGAAGCAAAAGAAGCAUAUCUCUUGAGAGAGAAAAAAAAAAAGAUUUAAAAUCCAUUAGAAUCUAAGCUUCACCAAGUAGAAGGUGGGCUCGUUGAGAGCAUAUAAUUGUUCAAUAAAUACUGGAUGGAUGGAUGGAUGGAUGGAAGGGUAAGUAAAUUAGGAAAAAAGGUAAAACAAAAUUGUUUUAUUCACACUUCACUUGUUUUCCUUCUUUUUUUGUAGAUUCCGAUUCCUUUUCCUUAUUAUCCAAAUCAGGUCCUGACACUUAAUGAUCUUAUAACGGUAAAUAUAUCUGCCCUGUUAAUCUAUAAAGUUCAUAAACAUAUUACAUUCAACUCCCUUUAUAAGAUAGGCCAGCUCAUCAUAAAAAUUUCUGUCUUUAUUAGUCUAAUUCAUUUCGAAACAAAAUAAAUCAGAGCUGUUAAAUUCAAAGUCAAAAAACAAUCUCAGUUCAUUUCUACGUUCUACAAACAAACAGUUCUACAUUCAUUAUUCAAUUCAUACAAACUAUAAAUUGACAAAACAACCUUUUCCAUCACUGAUGAGGGUGAAAGUGAAGAGUCAAAAGACUUAGACUUACAGAAUAAAUUCCUUUUGGAGAAAUGAAAAAGACUUGAUUAUUUCUUCACUAAUGAAGCAUUAGCAUAAACACAUUAUACAUUAAAGAUUAUCAAAGCUAAGUUCCAAUAGAUAAUGCUGCUUUUUUUUUUUUGGAUGAAAGGCACACAAUUCAAUUUUUUAAUAAGGCCCUUUAUUGAUACAGUAAGUUAUUCAGAAUAUUAGUUCAUGAAAACAGAGGAGAAAUACUUGAGUGGAGUUACAAAAGAUAACACUGAAAAAUUCCAUUUCCGUAUCUAAAAACAUACUUUUCAUACUUAAACAUUUUCUGAAAUCAAGACACAUCUCACAACAGAUACAUUUAUUCUAAGAUUUCUUUUUUCUUUAAAAUACUAUCACUUAAAAUGGUACAUUUUACAAUUGGUGGUAUCUUAGAAUCAGGGACAUGGCAGUAUUUUGUAAAAAUGUCAGAAACUCAGGCCUAAAUCAUUCGUGUGACGGAGAUAAAAUUUUUCAGGAUUUGAGACUAUUUAAAGCCAACCAUCUUGAGGAAUAUUUAAGUGUCCCAGAAACUUGAGACCAAACAAGCUUCUGAGUCUAAUCAAUAAGAACCUAAGUCUCUUGAGUUCAAGUGCUAGUGCUCUUCCCAUAAUCCACUCUGUUUAAGCAAUGUUAUAGUCCAUUUCCAAAUGGCAGACAAUAAAAAUUCUAGCAUAUUUCUAACGAAAAAUGUUUUAGGAAACUGCCUUCAAUGAUUAAUCAUUAACGAUUACAAAAUUGGCAAGUUCACCUUUAUAUCAAAACCUGCAGAAAGAGCACUGGCCUGUGGUUGGAAAGCCUAGAUUCAAACCUCUCUUAGAUUCUAAUUUCUCUCUUGAUUUACAUCUCUUUUACAAUUAAAUUAGCUGUGUGACCCUGGGUAAAGGUAUCGGUUUACCUCCCAGGUCUCUUCCAGUGCAAAUAUACUCCUCAGAUACUCAUUCACAUUACCAGAUCUGGACACUUAAUACCUAUUUAUACUUUCUUUUUUGGAAAAUGUUUAGAAGUACUCUUGGCCACAACCUAUAUCCUGGAAAGAAUUCUGACAGAAUAACUUCUAGAACUGCCAUACCUUCAUAGCCCAGGAUUCUCCCAGGAAUCCUAGUUAAGUCAGAAAGCAGGAAGAGUCACCCUUAAGAAACAAACACCACCUCAGGUAUUGUUCUUGCCUAAGCAAACAUUGGGACAGUGUUUGACUUACAUAUUCUUGCAUACACACCGGGAUGGACAGCUCUACAAAUACGAAGGGAUUCACUUUCUUUCACUGGUCAAUUCCUUGAGCAAGCUGCCAGUCUGUUACGACAGAAGGACUCGUGGAAGCUACAAAGCAAUACUUUUCCAGUGACACCGCUUGUGUAAACAAACUCUUGAAGCCAAGUAUUUAUAGUUGUCCUAAAAUUUUGGGUCAAGUAUCAUUCACAUAGGGAAUUUUCAUACUUCAAGAAACCUAGCACUUGCAUGGAUAUGUACACAGUGAGUUUCUUAACUGUUCAAGUUUUUAUUCUUUAGAUACAGUAAAUACAAUUACAAUAUUUCUGUGAAUUAAGGGAAUUUAAAUCUAGAUAUUGCACAUUCAUUUUAAAAUCUUAUAUCAUGUAAAUAAACCUCUAAAUAAAAUGGAACUCAUUUUUCAAUAAAAACAAAUUUUCAUAUAGAAAAUCUUCUAGCUUAUAUGUGUGCUAAGUUACAAAUAUGUUAAAAAAUAAACCCAUUAACAGCACUAGCAUUGAUCGAUUUUUCUUCUUUCAGUUAAUCACUUCUAUUCUGAACGAACUUGAGGUAAGUUCAUAUUAAUUUUAAUGUUUAUUUAUUAUUGAGAGACACAGAGAGACAAAGCAUGAGCACUGGAGGGGCAGAGAGAGGGGAGACACAGAAUCUGAAGCAGGUUCCAGGCUCUGAGCUGUCAGCACAGAGCCGGAUGCGGGGCUCAGACUCACAAACCACGAGAUCAUGAUCUGAGCGGAAGUGUGACGCUUAACCAACUGAGCCACCCAGGCGCCCCUCAUAUUAAUUUUUAAGUUAUUAUAAAGUAUAAACCUAUUUAAUGGACUGAGGGUAAUGUCUUUUUUUUUUUUUAUCUUUUAGGGCUUCUUUGGGGUAAGACUUUAUUUCUAUGAUUAUAUUGAUAAAAACAAGUGACAUUUAAUAUCAGGAAAGGUAAGAAUAACUCUCCUCAACUAUAAAAAUAUAUGGCAGAAUCAAACCCAACUGACUUACCCAAAUUAGAGCUCCUGCGUUAUAAACUCUAAACAAUUUAGAUCAGAAUUUCUGCAGGUCUAAAAAGGUAUUUUCAUAAUGCCAUGGUAUUUGACAAAAUUUCAGCCUACGAAGUAUAUGCAAUGUUAAGAAAUUUCAAACAGUAAAUUUUUCCUCAAGCUUGUUUUUGUUUUAUGGACAAUUCAUAGUAAGCAGUGAGAAAAGUCUGCUGUGAAACUACCAAAUCUAGAAAUGGCCUCAUUUCAAGGCAAGGCAAAACAUCUCCUUAACACCAAAGCAUCAGCUUGCUGGAUGGAGAGGCUACAAAUCUUGAGACUUCUUUGAUUCUCAUCCAAGUUUGUUCUCACUUUAAAAUAUAUACAAAAGAUAAGCUUUGUGCAGUGGGUGUAUCAUAGCCAAUGAGGUUUAUCCAAGGCACGAUUAUUGCUAAUUGAAAAUACAUACAAAAGAUAUAUUCCUUUUUUAAAUAUCUGAAUGAAUGUCAAUCAAAAUUAUUAUAUAUAAAUUAAUGUUAAUCUACCUUGAGAGAAGCUAAUGAGUCAAAAUUUUCUGAGUCCCAAUUUUGAGAAAGAAAUUGGAUUUCACCCGUUUUUGUCCUUAUACAUUUCAUUGCCCCCAAAUGCUUACUUAGUAUUUCUUACCACAUCAAAUGCUCUUAUCAGGCCAUCAAAGGCCAAGUGGGAGAAGCGAAGUGCUUUGUUGCAGAAAAACCCAGUUGAGGAUUCAAUUUAUCACCAUUUAAGAUGUAACAGGAUCAUGUUAUUUUCUAUCUGCCAAUACACAUGAUUGUAUGAAUACUAACCCAUCAGCAAUAAAAUGACCAUAAGAUGGGAGAUGUGAGUGGAAGCAAAGAAGAAAUUAUGGCAAGAAUACCUUCAUAUAAUAACUGUAAUCUGUAUUGUUUAUUUUGGCAGAGAUAAUUCUCUCCCUCCUAUGUCAGAAGUUAUAUACUAAGGUUAGUAAAAUCUCGAAAUAUCUUUCAAGUACUACUAUAUAUUUAAUUUUUUUUUAUCUUAGGAGUUUAAUAGUCUCAGGUCACAUCCAUAUUGAUAAAUUAAUAGCAUGAUGAAAGGUAUACUGAUGAAAGCAGUAAUUAGCCUACUUAAAUUAUAAAUGCUUCCUUCAAAUGAUGUAUUUUUAAAUCAGUUUAUUAAAACCUCACAAAUAUGUUAGAAAAUAAUACCAACCACCGUUUCUUACACUGUAAGAAAAUAUAGCAUUUAGCUUCUAAAAGUUGUUGGAAUUUUCAAGUGCCAAAUAUUCAGGUUUUAGAUUGUUAUGUUCUUACUAUACAAGUUUAGCAUAUGCUUCCAUUUGAGUCUGAAAUGCUGGCAAGACAAACACCGAAUUGCCACCACAUAUCCUUAGGUUCAGAUAUUAUCAAGUAAAUUCUCUUUGGGUUCAAAUUAUGCAAACAGUUACAGUGAUGCUAGUUAAACCAGUUGUGACCUUAAAGUCAAGUCAUAAACCAUUAAGUGUGUUACUGUUGAUGUGAGUACUGCUUAAAUAAUAUAUAAUCUUCCAAACUGCAGACUUAACACAACAAAUCAUCAAAGCUUCAUGACCUUAGUAGACAAUACAGAAUAAGUUUCGGAACCUGGCAGACCAGGAUUCAAAUCCCAGCUCUGUCCCUUACUGAAUAACCUUGGGAAAAUCUUUAGAAGGAUCAUUUUCACCUGAAAUGGAAAUAAUACCACCUAACUUCAUAGGAUUGUUGUGAGGAUUGCAUGAUAUAAUGUAGAUACUCAGUAAAUGGUAUCUGUUAUUACUAUUUUACUAAAUAGUAAAAUAUUUUUAGAUAAAAAGUAUUCAGAGUAUUCUUCCUUAUACCUAAAAUAUAAGAAAAGCAAAUAUGGCAUCAAUAUCACCUAAUGAUAUAGGAGCAAAUAUUCCUCCAGAAAGGUCUUCAACUAAAACUUUAAUAUGGUUUUUCUUAUUAUAGAUGAUGCUGGAUAUUUAUAACACUUACCAGAAGAUUACUUCUAUUUUAUAAUUUUGCAUACUUUAGAAAUGUUCCAGAGAAAACUCUAAAAUGCCAUGAAGAAUUCAUUAUCAAUAGACCAUGUGCUUUAAUCAUUCUUUAAAUAAAAUAUUACCUACUAUCUUUUCUAAUGUCAAUUUAAAUGUUUCAACACUAUUAGAUGUAAGUAAAUGUUGACCUUCAGGGAAUUGCUCAAACUUUCUCAAGAGCUUUUGUAAGCAGCUUUAAAAAUUCUAUUCAGUGCCAGGAAAAAGCAGUCUCUUCCUGCCAAACAGUAAAAGUAGAAUCCAACUCUGAUUCUGGGAGAAGGCCAUCCUACCCCUCAGCUAGUGAGCGGGUCAUCCUGGUCAAGCACAAGUCCCUUAUUACAUACCAGGGACCAGGAUUUUAUGGAUUUUAGAAAAUUAAUACCAUACUUAAACCUUGUAACUCUUCCAGAGGGGUCUGAAACAGCAUCUGGAAAUCAAACAUUCUAAUGUUUCUCAGCAAACCUCAACUCGCACUAAUGAGGAAAAAGCUUCCUGUCAGUUUAGUUCAGGUUUACCACCAAAGUAAAAGUAGCUUUGACACUAAAUUUAGCAGGGGUUGAGGGGACUUUUGAUUUACAUUAGCCCAAGUUCUGUUCUCAAGCUACAGAAUAAGCCUAAUACCUUUUUCAAAUAUGUGAAGAAAAGGAAACCACCAUGUCUCUAUCCCUUACACCUCCUUUUCUUCAGAUGCCCCAUCUGUAACCCAACUAGAAUGAAGACGGAAUUAUGAUGGUCCCUACUCAAGGUUGACAGGAGUAAAUAUCAUGGGAUUUUCUCAAUAAAUAUCUUAGCCAGGAUGUGAUACACAUGCCCACUAAGACAAGUAUUAUUUUCAUUCUUCUUCCCUAAGUAUCUAGAACAUCAACAACUCUUUCCUUUAUCUGGGAAUUAUAAUGUUAACGGUGGGCCUCUCAAAAACCUAUUCCAAUCCUUAUUUCCUUCCUAACAAAUAAUAUGUUUAACUCUCAAAGGCUUCCCUCUCUCAUUUCAAUCCUUUCUGAACAUCUAUUUUUAUUUUUAUUUUACUUCUUAGAGAAAGCAUGGGUGGAGGAGAGAGGCAGAGGAAGAGAGAGAGAAUGAAUAUCCCAAGCAGGCUCCAUGGUGAGUGUGGAGCCCAACAUGGGGCUCGAUCUCACAACCCUGGGAUCAUGACCUGAGCCAAAAUUAAGAGUUGGACACAACGAACUGAGCCACCCAGGUGCCCCUGAACAUGUAUUUUUACUUUAUUUAUGAUACAUACAGUUACAGUAGAGUGAAAUAAACACAUCAAUUUAAAUUACUAAUUUCCAGGACAUAUUUUUAAAUUCAGAAUUUUUAAAAAAUGAGAACACGAGCUGUUCAUUGAUAUUGAUCUUUAUUAACAAGAUCAAUUUCCUCAGUAAACUGAAAUUUCCUCAAUAAACUGGUAAUUCUGAAGUCAAAACAAGGUUUUCAUUUUUUAAAUCAGCUUCAACAAGAUCACAUAAAGCAAAUAAUUUAAAGACAGGUUAGACACUGGCAGUGUUCUCCUAAAGGAGCCUGAUAUUUAUGCCAGAAACAUCCUUCAGACCCUAGAUCAACAGGAAAAAAAGAAAAGAAAGAACAUGGAAGGCAGAAGUAAUGGCUGACCCUAAAUUUAUCUUUAUUCAGGUUAUGGUUCUUCAAAGAGCAUCAGCUGUUUCGAUUUGGUUUAAACAAUGCUUAAAUAGAAUACAUAAAAAAUAUGUUGUUUAUAUUUCUUCUGACUGGAAAGCAGAAAAUUAUGUGUUGCAUUUCAUCAUAUUUACUAAUUUUAUUCUGAUUAAAACCUUCUAAAUGAAAACAGUUUUGAAAGUGAAUGAAAUAAUUUCCAAGUGACCGUGCCUGCCCCCCUUAUCUAUCCUAUGAGCUCUGUGGUACCGCCUUCUUUUCAGCACGUGCUCUUCUGCACUUGGCUGACACAGAGAUGAGGCUACAACCCGCGACACUCAGCAUCAGAGUUCUCACUCCAGUGUGCAUCUCGUUUCUCUGCCACGAGUUUGAUGAAUUGAGAGUGACUGGCAUAAAGCUGGAGUUGAUCACUGAUGUCCACCCAUUUCACUUUUCCAGCAUCAUCUCCAGCUUCUAGGGUAAGGUUAUCCAUUAUCUCACCUAUUGCCAAAGCACAACAUCACCAAGAGAAAGUAAUUCUUUUAUUUAUGUCCCUUUCAACAUAACUCUGUAGCUUCAAGUAUUCUUACUGAAAACAAUUUAAAUCAUUAUUGUAUUAGGUGCCCCAGGGAAUUAAAAACUAGAAGCUUCCAAAUUUUCCAAAUGCCCAAAUUUUAACCACAUUGCUGAAUUUUAAAUAGAGGCACCAGUAAGGAAGCUUUUCUCUUUAAAAAGUAAGAAUAUUGGCUUUAGCUUUAAAAAAAAAAAAAAAAGAGUUCAUAUUAAAUGAGUAUGAAACUUACAUCAAAACAAGUUCUAGAGGGAUUGCAGAUUUAAAUGUAAAAAAAAGAAAAACAAUUAUUGGCAAUUCAUUUUACACUCUUAAGUGGACCUUUCUAAAAUAAGCAUGGGGGUGCCUGAGCAGCUCAGUCAGGUAAGUGUCUGACUCUUGGUUUCAGCUCAGGUCAUGAUCUCAUGGUUCACUGAUAGCACAGACAACAUGGGCUCCAGCUCUGCAUCAGGCUCUGGGCAUAUAACUUGGAGCCUGCUUGGGAGUCUCUUUCUCCCUCUCCCUCUGCCCCUUCCCCCUGUGCCUCCCCCCCAAAUAAAUAACCAUGACACCAAACCAGAAAUCAUAAAUGAAAAUAUUUAUAUUUACAAAUAAAUAUAUUUAUUAAAAUCUUUAUAAUUAUCAAAAAAAAUUAAAAAUAAAGCUCUUAAUCACUGUUGGGAAUGUAAACAGACUAUUUCUGUAGGACAAUUUGGCAAUGCUUAUCAAGAGCUUUUAAAAAAGCAAAUGCUGCAGCACCUGGAAGGCUCAGUCGAGGAGCCAACUCUUGAUUUCAGUUCAGGUCAUGAUCCCAGAGUCGAAAGACUGAGCCAUUGGGCUCCAUGCUGAGCAUGAAGCCUGCUUGAGAUCCUCUCUCUCUCUCUCUCUCUCUCUGUCUCUCCCCCUGCUUGCACUCUCUUUCUAAAAGAAGAUAGGCACCUGGGUGGCUCAGUCAGUUAAGCAGCCGACUCUUGGUGUUGGCUCUGGUCAUGAUCUCAUGGUUUGCUGACAGCACAGAGCCUGCUUGGGAUUCUCUCUCCCUGUCUCUCUCUGUCCCUCUCCUGCUUGCUCAUGCUCUCUCUCAGAAUAAAUAAACUUUAAAAAAAAAAAGAAAGAAAGAAAAGGAAAUUGCUCUUUGAUGAGAAUUCAUUCCGCAAAUACCAGAGUGCCUCUUAUCAAGUCAGUUUAAUAAACACAAGUUUACCUGUUUCAUCAUGGUAGUUCACAGCUUCUGUCUCCAUCCAUGCAUUAUCAGUGUUUCGAGGAUCAUCGACAUAUCCUUUAUAUAUCUAUUUUUAAAAGGAAGCAGACAA